UUUGGCAAUGCGUAUGUAUACUACAAUUGGAACAACACAGAGGGGAACUCAUCCCCUGUGCAAGGAUGGCAUGCCAAUCUGUGAGGUAUCCUCUAUUUUU
Molecule: small nuclear RNA, 100 nt
Organism: Oryctolagus cuniculus (rabbit)
Lineage: Eukaryota; Metazoa; Chordata; Mammalia; Lagomorpha; Leporidae
Source: Ensembl